This 74-nucleotide transfer RNA is filed under the name Candidatus Moraniibacteriota bacterium. RNAcentral describes it as "tRNA-Ala". It matches the Rfam family "tRNA". Rfam says of the family: Transfer RNA (tRNA) molecules are approximately 80 nucleotides in length. Their secondary structure includes four short double-helical elements and three loops (D, anti-codon, and T loops). Further hydrogen bonds mediate the characteristic L-shaped molecular structure. tRNAs have two regions of fundamental functional importance: the anti-codon, which is responsible for specific mRNA codon recognition, and the 3' end, to which the tRNAs corresponding amino acid is attached (by aminoacyl-tRNA synthetases). tRNAs cope with the degeneracy of the genetic code in two manners: having more than one tRNA (with a specific anti-codon) for a particular amino acid; and 'wobble' base-pairing, i.e. permitting non-standard base-pairing at the 3rd anti-codon position. Lineage: Bacteria; Candidatus Moraniibacteriota. The record is from RNAcentral.
GGGCUUGUAGUAUAGUGGUAAUACGCUGCAUUCGCAUUGCAGAGACGCGAGUCCGAUUCUCGCCAAGUCCACCA